GCCUGGGUGGCUUGGUCGGUUAAGCGUCUGACUUCGGCUCAGGUCAUGAUCUCAGGGUCUGUGAGUUCGAGCCCCGCGUCGGGCU
This is a non-coding RNA of Felis catus (domestic cat), 85 nucleotides long. The record is from Rfam. NCBI's taxonomy places the organism in Eukaryota, Metazoa, Chordata, Mammalia, Carnivora, Felidae.